UACGAAAGGGGCUAGCGUUGUUCGGAAUUACUGGGCGUAAAGCGCACGUAGGCGGCCUUGUAAGUUGGGGGUGAAAGCCCGGAGCUCAACUCCGGAACUGCCUCCAAAACUACAAAGCUCGAGCAUGUGAGAGGAGAGUGGAAUUCCGAGUGUAGAGGUGAAAUUCGUAGAUAUUCGGAAGAACACCAGUGGCGAAGGCGACCAACUGGCUCAUUGCUGACGCUGAGACGCGAAAGCGUGGGGAGCAAACAGG
RNAcentral lists this ribosomal RNA (253 nucleotides) under uncultured bacterium. RNAcentral describes it as "partial 16S ribosomal RNA". It matches the Rfam family "Bacterial small subunit ribosomal RNA", at positions 524 to 776 of the family's 1533-position model. The record is from RNAcentral.